GAUCUUGGCUCAGGACGAACGCUGGCGGCGUGCUUAACACAUGCAAGUCGAACGAAAAGACGGAAAGAGCUUGCUCUUUUCAGAAUUGAGUGGCAAACGGGUGAGUAACACGUAAACAACCUGCCUUCAGGAUGGGGACAACAGACGGAAACGACUGCUAAUACCGAAUAAGUUCCAAGGGCCGCAUGGCCCAUGGAAGAAAAGGUGGCCUCUACCUGUAAGCUAUCGCCUGAAGAGGGGUUUGCGUCUGAUUAG
RNAcentral lists this ribosomal RNA (255 nucleotides) under uncultured bacterium. Its description in RNAcentral is "partial 16S ribosomal RNA". It matches the Rfam family "Bacterial small subunit ribosomal RNA", at positions 15 to 244 of the family's 1533-position model. The record is from RNAcentral.